UAUUGGACAAUGGGGGCAACCCUGAUCCAGCCAUGCCACGUGUGUGAAGAAGGCCUUUUGGUUGUAAAGCACUUUAAGCUGUGAAGAAGACUCUAUGGUUAAUACCCAUAGACGAUGACAUUACCUGCAGAAUAAGCACCGGCUAACUCUGUGCCAGCCGCCGCGGUAAUACAGAGGGUGCAAGCGUUAAUCGGAAUUACUGGGCGUAAAGCGAGCGUAGGUGGCUUAAUAAGUCAGAUGGGAAAUCCCCGGGCUUAACCUGGGAACUGCAUCUGAUACUGUUGGGCUAGAGUAGGUGAGAGGGAGGUAGAAUUUCAGGUGUAGCGGUGAAAUGCGUAGAGAUCUGAAGGAAUACCGAUGGCGAAGGCAGCCUUCUGGCAUCAUACAGACACUGAGGUUCGAAAGCGUGGGUAGCAAACAG
RNAcentral lists this ribosomal RNA (421 nucleotides) under uncultured bacterium. RNAcentral's name for it is "bacterial SSU rRNA". It matches the Rfam family "Bacterial small subunit ribosomal RNA", at positions 362 to 775 of the family's 1533-position model. The record is from RNAcentral.